AAAACAAUGAGACAUUUGUAUUUAGCGCAAAAACCACGUGAUGUUCUUUAAAACUGUUUUGAAUUUAUUACAAAAAAACAUUCUAAAUAAUUUUGAAUUGCUUAAUUAGUUUGGAUUUUAAAAGCUGAAAGAAAGACACAAUAACUUAAAAUAAUCCAAAGAGUCAUGCUUAAAUAAAUCCAACCAACAUAACUAUCGAAGCUGUUGCAACACAACAAUAUUUGUCACAAAAAAAAAACAAUCGUUUCAGAUGGACAAGAUAUUCUAAAGUAAAGACUUGUCAAGCAUUAACUUUGAAGAGAAGAUUGUAUUGGCUGAGUGAUAGGGUUCUCUUCAUCCAUUGUUUUCUGUUUUUUCCUUGGUCGUCCUUGAGGUUUCUUGGGUGGUUUUGGCAUUGCUUUACACUUGCAUGAACGUUUGUUGUGUCCGACUUGUUGACAAUUGCUGCAAGUCUAAAUAUGCAAAGAUUAAAUUUAAUA
RNAcentral lists this small RNA (479 nucleotides) under Arabidopsis thaliana (thale cress). RNAcentral's name for it is "ATSL122520". The record is from RNAcentral. Lineage: Eukaryota; Viridiplantae; Streptophyta; Magnoliopsida; Brassicales; Brassicaceae.